Molecule: transfer RNA, 63 nt
Filed under: marine eukaryotic metagenome
Rfam family: tRNA
About the family: Transfer RNA (tRNA) molecules are approximately 80 nucleotides in length. Their secondary structure includes four short double-helical elements and three loops (D, anti-codon, and T loops).
Source: RNAcentral
CGUAGCUCAGCCGGUAGAGCAGCGGCCUUUUAAGCCGUUGGUCACAGGUUCGAUUCCUGUCGG